Molecule: ribosomal RNA, 317 nt
Filed under: uncultured bacterium
Lineage: Bacteria
Description: bacterial SSU rRNA
Rfam family: Bacterial small subunit ribosomal RNA
Source: RNAcentral
AACGAACGCUGGCGGCAUGCCUAACACAUGCAAGUCGAACGGAGACCUUCGGGUCUAGUGGCGCACGGGUGCGUAACGCGUGGGAAUCUGCCCUUGGGUUCGGAAUAACAGUUAGAAAUGACUGCUAAUACCGGAUAAUGUCUUCGGACCAAAGAUUUAUCGCCCAGGGAUGAGCCCGCGUAGGAUUAGCUAGUUGGUGAGGUAAAGGCUCACCAAGGCGACGAUCCUUAGCUGGUCUGAGAGGAUGAUCAGCCACACUGGGACUGAGACACGGCCCAGACUCCUACGGAGGCAGCAGUGGGGGAAUAUUGGACAAU